Molecule: transfer RNA, 85 nt
Filed under: Felis catus (domestic cat)
Lineage: Eukaryota; Metazoa; Chordata; Mammalia; Carnivora; Felidae
Also listed under: 2 other names
Rfam family: tRNA
About the family: Transfer RNA (tRNA) molecules are approximately 80 nucleotides in length.
Source: Rfam by way of RNAcentral
GCCUGGGUGGCUCAGUUGGUUGAGCAUCUGACUUCAGCUCAGGUUGUGAUCUCAUGGUUCGUGGGUUUGAGCCCUGUAUCAGGCU